GACGAACGCUGGCGGCGUGCCUAAUACAUGCAAGUAGAACGCUGAAGGAGGAGCUUGCUUCUCUGGAUGAGUUGCGAACGGGUGAGUAACGCGUAGGUAACCUGCCUGGUAGCGGGGGAUAACUAUUGGAAACGAUAGCUAAUACCGCAUAAGAGUAGAUGUUGCAUGACAUUUGCUUAAAAGGUGCAAUUGCAUCACUACCAGAUGGACCUGCGUUGUAUUAGCUAGUUGGUGGGGUAACGGCUCACCAAGGCGACGAUACAUAGCCGACCUGAGAGGGGGAUCGGCCACACUGGGACUGAGACACGGCCCAGACUCCUACGGGAGGCAGCCGUAGGGAAUCUUCGGCAAUGGACGGAAGUCUGACCGAGCAACGCCGCGUGAGUGAAGAAGGUUUUCGGAUCGUAAAGCUCUGUUGUAAGAGAAGAACGAGUGUGAGAGUAGAAAGUUCACACUGUGACGGUAUCUUACCAGAAAGGGACGGCUAACUACGUG
Molecule: ribosomal RNA, 495 nt
Filed under: uncultured bacterium
Lineage: Bacteria
Description: partial 16S ribosomal RNA
Rfam family: Bacterial small subunit ribosomal RNA
Source: RNAcentral